AAGAAUAAAAGAACCAGCAGUAUGAAUAUGGAAUACCUAUGAUUUACUAUGAAAGCUUGGGCUAAUGAUAUAUGAAACGAAACUUGGUCAUUCUAUGUAUAAAUUCAAGUCUGUGGUCUCCAACUAACUCAUUCCAAUUCAAAAUUCAAAUUUAUCUUAUCAAAGCCUUUUGCUUUCAAUAAGUCUUUCUGUAUGUCAAGAUUCACCUCGGCAGCAACCAACUUUGCCUUUAGC
RNAcentral lists this long non-coding RNA (234 nucleotides) under Lathyrus oleraceus (garden pea). RNAcentral describes it as "Pisum sativum (pea) long non-coding RNA (PSAT_LNC008652)". The record is from RNAcentral. Lineage: Eukaryota; Viridiplantae; Streptophyta; Magnoliopsida; Fabales; Fabaceae.